GUUUGGUUAAGUUAGAAAGGGCGCACGGUGGAUGCCUUGACACUAGGAGUCGAUGAAGGACGGGACUAACGCCGAUAUGCUUCGGGGAGCUGUAAGUAAGCUUUGAUCCGAAGAUUUCCGAAUGGGGAAACCCACUAUACGUAAUGGUAUGGUAUCCUUACCUGAAUACAUAGGGUAUGGAAGACAGACCCAGGGAACUGAAACAUCUAAGUACCUGGAGGAAGAGAAAGCAAAUGCGAUUUCCUGAGUAGCGGCGAGCGAAACGGAACAUAGCCCAAACCAAGAGGCUUGCCUCUUGGGGUUGUAGGACAUUCUAUACGGAGUUACAAAGGAACGAGGUAGACGAAGCGACCUGGAAAGGUCCGUCGUAGAGGGUAACAACCCCGUAGUCGAAACUUCGUUCUCUCUUGAAUGUAUCCUGAGUACGGCGGAACACGUGAAAUUCCGUCGGAAUCUGGGAGGACCAUCUCCCAAGGCUAAAUACUCCCUAGUGAUCGAUAGUGAACCAGUACCGUGAGGGAAAGG
RNAcentral lists this ribosomal RNA (525 nucleotides) under Bacillus thuringiensis. Its description in RNAcentral is "partial 23S ribosomal RNA". It matches the Rfam family "Bacterial large subunit ribosomal RNA", at positions 1 to 514 of the family's 2925-position model. The record is from RNAcentral. Lineage: Bacteria; Bacillati; Bacillota; Bacilli; Caryophanales; Bacillaceae.